UUUUAAAGAGAGUUUGAUCCUGGCUCAGGACGAACGCUGGCGGCGUGCCUAAUACAUGCAAGUCGAACGAACGGAG
Molecule: ribosomal RNA, 76 nt
Filed under: Listeria monocytogenes
Lineage: Bacteria; Bacillati; Bacillota; Bacilli; Caryophanales; Listeriaceae
Description: partial 16S ribosomal RNA
Rfam family: Bacterial small subunit ribosomal RNA
Source: RNAcentral